This 365-nucleotide long non-coding RNA is filed under the name Dromaius novaehollandiae (emu). Its description in RNAcentral is "lncRNA (ENSDNVG00000015303.1)". Lineage: Eukaryota; Metazoa; Chordata; Aves; Casuariiformes; Dromaiidae. The record is from RNAcentral.
GGCAAGGUUAUUUUACUGAAUGUGUUUUUUUUUCUUUCUUCUAGCUAUAAGGAAAGUCUCUGCUGGUCCCAGAGCUGACUUAACUAAAUGAUGGGCUGUGAAUUGGCAGGAAAAGUUUGCUCUGAAUUUAUUCAGGAUGGCAGGAUGAGAAAGCACUGAAAAAGCUGCAGACAAUCUACAUCCUUGUGCAAGAGGAGAAGUGUUAGACUCUGAUCACCUGAAGAAACGUAGGUCACAGGGACAGUGGUUGCCAGCAUGCCAUGACUGCUUGCAAAGCCAAAUUGAAACUUCAGCAUAGAGCGAAAAGGAGAAGGAUGACACUAGUGAACAUGUAAGUGAAUGUGUUUUUACUGCUUGAGCUCCUA